GUGCUGAGCGGCAAGGCACAGCCGCGGGAAGGUAAACGCAGAGCCGAGGGGCCGGCCAGCACCUGGCCCUGACCGCCCCCAGGCCACGCAUUCCUUGUUACUUCACCUCCUGGCGGAUGGCAACCGUCCCAGCUUCGUGGACUGUCAGGGUCACCGAGAGUCCAGGGUGGUGGGAGUCCCCCACACGAGCCACUGGCACACUCCCUGAAGCAGAAGCCACGGCGCCAAAGCUGUGGGCUCAGGGAACUUGCCCAUUACCUGGCAGCCCCGCAUCUGUGCCAAAAUAAGACACAACUCAGCCCAGCGGAGUGGACAGUGUCUGCGGCCAGCUCUGGGAUCCAGGGCCAGCUGAUGCUGGGAACAGCCGUCCUUGCCCUGUGCCUCUCCACACUGCGAGAGCCCCUGCAGCCCAGAGGGGCUCCACCUCCCCUGCAAUGGGGCUCAAAAGACAAUCCUUCUACGGGGCUGGCAGGACAGACGUGACAGGAACAACGAUGGCCUGCUCCUCCCGGAAGGUGGCUUCAAGAGCACUCAGGAGGUGACAGAUGCUGUCAAGACCGGCCCAGGGAAGGCACAGGGCAGGUUUCCCAGCACCCACCACGCGCCAGCGAGCACAGAGCCUUCGCCUGAACCAUCCAGGCACCGCGCCCUCCCCCUCCGCACACACAGGAGCCCAGCUGCGAUUCCCUCUGCUCCACAGGAGAUGCAGCGAGCACCAAAGAGCCUUCCUCCAGGAUUAAGCCUGAUGCAGAAGUGGUUACACUGACUACGGCAAGCCUCCUCAACGUGAAAACCCGGAGGACGAAAGCCAUUCGUGGAGACCCGCUGCUGCUGCGCGAGGCUUAAGUCUAUUUUCUCCUCAUGAUCUCAGUAUUUUCACGUCUCUAGUUUGCUCUACCCUAACAGUAAGAGCAGAACACACAUAACAUACAAAAUGUGUGUGACUGGCUUUAUGUGGUCAGGAAGGCUCUGGUCAACAGAAGGCUGUUAGUUAAGUUUGGGGAAAGUUAAAAGUUCUACACAAAUUUUCAACUGCACAGGAGGCUGGCGCCCCCAACCCCUGUAUUGUUCAAGGGUUUGCUGUAAUUUGUAUUAAAACACCAAGCCCCCUUACACCUGGGUGAGUCUCUCUCCCUGAACAGAUGUGACAACAUUACCCUCCGAAGACUCCCAGAGAGAAAGAGAACACUUCAAAUUCAGAUUUGUCUUCCACAGUAUGUUGAUAGAACAGGCCUUUACGUACGUCCUGGGCAAAUGCUCCUCUCCUUAUGUAAGUUAAUAACUCCACCAACCACUAGUUUGUGUAAUGACCAUUUAAAUAUCGAAUGGUGCCCAAGGCCCCUGAGAAGGGAUGUGAUUCAGCCCCUCCCCUCACGCAGGCACGUGGCCUCAGAGGCCCAGGAGGAGGAAGACAGGAAGUCAGCAGCAGGGUGGAAAAGGGGAGGGAAGCCCUUCAAGGGAAGCUCUCCCAGAACCUUCAAUCCCAGCUCCAAUUCCAAAGACAGGAACACACUCAUGACUGACAGGAUCAAACACCAAAGGCCUGUUUGCCUUGAGGGGGACACUGGGGAGGGUGGGGAAGGGGGAGUGAGGAGGAGCUGGAAGCAGCAGUCCUGUGUGGCACCAGGGGCUUGCUCCCACGUCGGCCCUGGGCACAGCCCCGCAUGGUGAUGAGGUGUGGCCUGCCUGCAGCACACGGCCAUGCUCCAGAUACCUUAGCUUUAUCUGAAGAGUUCUUUUGUUUGUUUGUUUGUUUGUUUGAGACAGCUGUGUUGCCCAGGCUGGAGUGCAGCGGUGUGAUCACAGCUCACUGUAGCCUCCGCCUCCUGGGCUCAAGCUAUCCGCUCACUUGAGCCUCCCAAGUAGCUGGGAGUACAGGCCCGUGGCACCAUGCCCGGCUAAUUUCUGUACUUUCUGUGGAGUCGGGUUUCGCCAUGCUUCCGAGGCUGGUGUCUGAAGGAUGCUUUACGGCAACCCCUGCCUUUUCCAGCUGAGCCCUGCCGGCUGUUGUGCGCUCCGUGGAAAGGGAGAAGCACGGUCUCCAGCGGCUGCGUCAGGAGUGGUGCCUUGUGCACACCUCACAGGGAGAGAAGUCUCCAACGGACUGAGCGGAGGAAAAAAGAAAAAAGGAGAAAAGGAAAAAGAGCUGCAUACCUGGCAGGCCUACUGUGUGCAAAGCCCUUGAGUGACACACCCUAUGACCCACAGCACUGUGGCAAUCCCAGGGCCGCACCAGCUCUCUCUCCUUCCCCUCCUCAGGGCCACACCAACUGUGGGGUUCCAGCUAUCACUCUGUGCAAAGGACUCCUAACAUGGGUGUCCUCCGUCUCACCCCAUAAGCCACACUGGCCAAGGCCAGGCAGGCACCACACAUCGCGAGACACAUGCUUGGUCACUGGGCUGUGGAACAUACAGGAGCCCCGUGCUCCGGAACACGGACCACCCGACAGGAGCACGGACACAGCAGUCGGGGCGACGUGGGUGCCUCACAGAAGAGGGAAAAAGCCAGGAGGGCGGCACGUGGGCGCAAAGUUCUCAGCUUCGUUAGUCAUCAAGAAAAUGCAAACUAAAACCAAGGUAAGUGUGAGGGUUACUACUGAGUUUCAACUUGACUGGACUAAAGGAUGUGUAACUGUUCCUGGGAGCAUCUUGAGGAAGCUGCCAAAGGAGAUUCACAUUGAGUCAGUGGACGGGGAGAGGCCGACGAACCCUCCAUCUGGGGGGGCAUGAUCUCAUCAGCUGCCAGCACGGCAGAUCUGCGGAAGCACUGGACUGGCUGAGUCUUCCAGCCUCCAUCUUUCUUCCAUGCUGGAUACUUCCUGCCCUCGAACAUCAGACUCCAAGUGCUUCAGCUUUUGGGUUCUUGGACCUACACCAGUGGUUUGCCAGGGGUUCUUGGGCCUUCGGCCACAGACUGAAAGCUGCGCUGUUGGCUUCCCGACUUUUGAGGUUUGGGGACUCGGACUGGCUUCCUGGCUCCUCAGCUUGCCAACAGCCUAUUGUGGGACUUCACCUCAUGACUGUGUGAGUCAAUACUCCCAAUAAACUCCCCUCCAUAUAUACAUUUAUCCUAUUAGUGCUGUCCCUCUAGAGAACCCUGACUCGUACACACAAGUACUGGUGAAGGGGUGGAGCAAAGGAAACUAGUCCACUCUCAUCAGGGCCAACUCACGCACCUGGCAAUCUCUACUCAUACUGAACACAAGUAUGCCCUAUAGCCCAGCAAUGCCAUUCUGGACAUACACGUCCAAAAGAAAAGCAGGUGCACAGACACAAGAGACACGCGUGAAGUGCUUCAUAGCAGUGGGGUUUGCGGCGUGCCACUAGGAUGUGAGGGUGGAACACUACACAGCAGAGGAGGCAAACACAUCACAACGUAAGUCAAUCUCACAAAUAAUGUUGAGGAACCCUGUCUCUACGAAAAGUUUAAAAAUUAGCCGGGCACUGUGGUGCAUGCUGGCGGUCUCAGCUACCAGGGAGGCUAAGGCAGGAGGAUCACUUGAGCCCAGGAGGUCGAGGCUGCGGUAAGCCAAGAUCAUGCCACUGUACUCCAGCCCGGGCGUCAGAGCCAGACCCUCUCCCCUCUCCCCUCUCCUCUCUCUCUCUCUCUCUCUCACACACACACACACACACACACACAGAGUAAUAAUGUUGGGGACAAAAUACAUGAUACAUUUACAUAAAUUUCUGAAAAUAGCAACUACAGUACUUAGGGAUGCAUACUUAGUUGACAAGACAUCCGCGAAGCGUGGAAAAUGGCUGCCUGGCGGAUGGAAUUGGAAGGGACGGUGAAACGGGUUCUAAGUGAAGGCUGCGGAGGCGUUUGCUUUGUGGUCUGCUAAGUUGUACAUUUUUACUGGGUGGACGUUUGGGUUCUCAGCUGAAGCAGUCUUUCAGAAGGUGACAGAGAUAAAGGCCACACUAUGUCCUUGCAAGGCCUCAGAGGUGUCACUGACCUUUUGCUGCAGGACCUGUUCUUCUCAGGGGUCUUGGCCUCCUAGAGGAAGGAGGGCCCCAUCGCCCUGCUAGGCCCUACUGGGACCCUCAAGGGCAUGAGCAUGACGACGGAGCAGCUUCAGGCUUCCCAGCAUGUCGGGCAGGCCUAGCCAUGCCCAAUACACACUGCAGGGCACCCACUGCAGAGUGCAACAGGGAGCUUGGAGCCUGACAAGGAGACACACAGCUCUGUGAAGACGAAGGGGAGGAGGAGCAAGGAAAAUGCUUCUUUUACACAGAAGGCGCCAAGAUACAAACUAAAUGUGAUGAAGACAAAGAAAAGCAGGCGUGUGUGUUAAAGGUACAAUUGCACAGCUAAAAAUAAUCAUGGCCGUAAGGCAGGGACGGCAGAUGGAGGGUGACUCAGCAGAUUUCCUCCAAGGCUUGCGAGGGUGGAAAUAAACACACGGAAGUGACCAGCAGAGAGAAACACGCAGGGAAGAGGAAGGUUAGAAAGGUCUGGGGUGUCACGCACCGUUGCUGGGAAUGCAGAGGAGGACGGUCUGCAGAAGGGGACGCAGCCACCGCCCCCCCCACCCCGCUGCAGAAGGUGCACACCACUCAGCAACCACCCACCCACUGCUCAAUCUACCCCCAAAUUACACAAAUAGGGCCAGGCACGGUGGCUCACCCCUGUGGUCCCAGCUACUCAGGAGGCCAAGGCAGGGGGGUCAUUUGGGCCCAAGAGUUUGAGACCCGGGCAAUGUAGGGAAACCUCAUCUUUACAAAAAUAUCAAAAAAUUAAUCAGUCGAGGUGGCACGCACCUGUAAUCCCAGCUCCUUGGGAGCCUGAGGCAGGAAGACCCCUUGGGCCCAGGAGGUCGAGGCUGCAGUGAGCUAAGAUUGCACCACUGCACUCCAACCUUGGUGACAGAGCAAGACCCUGUGUGAAAAAAACCCAAACCCCAAACCAAAAAAACACAACCGGGGCAUGAAAAAGUGCUUGGCCCAGAGCAGUGCCCCAAAGCAUCUCCUAAGAAAGGGGCUUAACACAAAGCCUGCCCGCCAGGGGCUGCUGGUGGCAUCCGGGCACAUCUGCACGUGGGGCUGACAGGACUAAGGAGGUUCCACAGACACACGACCAGGCGGAGACGCAGAGAAAAGCAGGUACAGCAAGAAGUCCACUGGGCAAUGCAGAGGUGGGGAAUGCAGAGGGGGAAUGCAGAGGUGGGGAAUGCAGAGGUGGGGAAUGCAGAGGUGGGAAAUGCAGAGGUGGGGAAUGCAGAGGUUGGAAAUGCAGAGGUGGGGAAUGCAGAGGUUGGAAAUGCAGAGGGCACCUACACUUCUGAUGACAGCGAAAUAUGUAAGGCUGGCUCAACCAUCAAUCAGUCAACGUCACCCAGCAUGCCAACAAGCUAAAGAAGAAACACCACAUAAUCACAACUGGUACAGAAAAUCAUUUGAUAAAAUUCAAAACUCACGAUAAAAAUUCCUAGGAAAACAGGAGUGUGGAGAAACAUCCUCAACACGAUAAAGGCCAACUACCAAGAACUCAAGGCUGACAUGAUCAAGAGUGACGUGCUGAGGGCUGCAGAUGGAAUGGCAUACAGGGCAGAAAGGAAGAAAUGGAAUAAAACUGUCUCUCUCUGAAGAUGGUGUAAGUGUCCAUGUCGAAAAUCACAAGGAAUCUAUCAAAAAUUCCAAGAAACUUUAUUUAAUAGAGUUCAGCAAGGACACAGAAUCCAAGAUCAACACACAAACACCUAUCCUAUUUCUGCAAUAAUCCUAUGAAAACAAGAAAUAAAGACAGUACCAUCCUAUUUCUGCAUGCUACCAAUAAUCCUAUGAAAACAAGAAAUACACAGUACCAUUCUAUUUCUACAUGCUAGCAAUAAUCAAAUAAAAACAUGAAAUAAAGACAGUACCAUUUAUAGGUGCUCCAAAUAAAAAUAAAUGCUUAGGUUCAUAUGGAACAAAACUAGAAAAACCUAUACACAUUUUAGGAAAAAACAGGAGAAAAUCUUUAGGACCUAGGGCCAAGAGUUGUCAGACAUGGCAACAAAAGCACAAUCCAUAAAAGAAAAAACUGAUAAACGACCUCGACAAAAUUAAAAACUUUUGCUCUUUGAAAGACCUAGUUUAAAGAGUGAAAAGACAAACUGCAGACAGGGAAAAAUAUCUGCAAAUCACAAGUCAGAUAGCAGGCUUGUAUGUAGAAGAAAGAAGUAUCAAACAACAAACAUUAAUUAGAAAAUAAGAGAAAACACACAGACAUUCAGAAGAGGUGCACGUGGUGAACAAGCCAUGAAGGCACUCGACAUCCUAAGCCGUUAGGGAAACACAACUUAAAGCCGCAAUGAGAUAUUACUGCACACCAAUCGGAACAGCUAAAAUACAAAAUACUCAAGGAUGCUGGAGAGGAUGUAGAAAAGCUGGAACUCUCUCGCUUGCUGUGGGAACGCAAAGUGGUGUUGCUGCUCUGGAGAACAGCAAGGCAGCCUUACGAACCUAAGUGUGCGCUUGCUGCCCCACUCAACAACUGCACCCCAGGACAUUUAUCUGAGAAAAUGGAACCUCAUGUGAACACAAAGACCUGUUUGCGAAUGUUCACAGAACUUUCACUGAUAAUAGACAAUGGGGAAAACCCUUCAACAGGUGUCCCAGCGGUGUCCUCGAAACUGGGUUUCAUUCACAUCACGGCAUCCCCUCAGCAGUAAAAGGGAUGGCUAUGGAUACACCCAAGCGUAUGGGUGAAUCUGCAGAGGCCCCUGCUGAGUGAGUGGACACACCCAGGCGUACGGGUGAAUCUGCAGAGGCCCCUGCUGAGUGAGUGGACACACCCAGGAGCACGGGCGAAAUCAGCGGAGGCCCCUGCUGAGUGAGUGGACACACCCAGGAGCACGGGCGAAAUCAGUGGAGGCCCCUGCUGAGUGAGUGGACAUACCCAGGAGCACGGGCGAAAUCAGCGGAGGCCCCUGCUGAGUGAGUGGACACACCCAGGCGCACGGGCGAAUCAGCGGAGGCCCCUGCUGAGUGAGUGGACAUACCCAGGAGCACGGGCGAAAUCAGUGGAGGCCCCUGCUGAGUGAGUGGACAUACCCAGGAGCACGGGCGAAAUCAGUGGAGGCCCCUGCUGAGUGAGUGGACAUACCCAGGAGCACGGGCGAAAUCAGUGGAGGCCCCUGCUGAGUGAGUGGACAUACCCAGGCGCACGGGCGAAUCUGCAGAGGCCCCUGGUGAGUGAGUGGACGCACCCAGGAGCACGGGCGAAUCAGCGGAGGCCCCUGCUGAGUGAGUGCACAAAGCCCACCUCUUAGGUCACUCCCUGUGGACUCUACUCCCACGGCUUCCUCCAGGACAAAACCACCAACCUCGGGGAAACAGGCGGGGACUCCGUGAGGAGGGCUCAUGUCUGUCGGUGGCUGUCGAGGAGGCUCUAGGACCAGGUAUCCAGGAUAAGACGGGGGAUCUGAAUCAAGUCUGCAGGGCGGUCACCCUGUCUUCCAAUGUCAUGUUCCCGGCCACUGGGCGAAGGUGGGGAAGGGCACAAGGGAUGCUGCUAUUUUUGCAACUUCCUGUGAGUCUAUAAUGAUUUCACAGAAAAAAGGAAAAAAAAGGGAGAAAAAACACAAGGGGUGUAAGGAGACUCCCAUGGGUGAUGAAUAGUCUAUACUUUUAGGUGAUGGUGUUUCCCCAACGGUAUACGUUUCCCAAAACCCACUGAGCUGUAAAUUUAAAAUGAGUGAAUUUUAUGUCAAUUGUAAUUCAAUAAAGCUGUUAAAAAAUUAACUAGAAACAGAAAAAAAUUUUAAUUCCCAUAGAAAGAAGGAAUAAAGUAAAAAAACAGUAUGAGGUAGGAGGUAAGCUUCCUUUCAUAAACCUUGUUUUGUGUAUUUGGCUUUGGAAUCAUGCAUUUUACAUCAUUUAAAACAUUAAAUAUAAAAUGAGACUGGGUGCAGUGAAUCCCAGCAGUCUGGGAGGCCCAGGCAGGCAGAUCACUUGAGGUCAGGAGUUCGAAACCAGCCUGGCCAACAUGGUGAAACUCUCUACUGAAAAUACAAAAAAUUAGCCGGGCAUGGUGGUGCGUGCCUGUAAUCCCAGCUACUUGGGAGGCUGAGGCACUGGGAGGCAGAGGCUGCCGUGAGCAGAGAUC
RNAcentral lists this long non-coding RNA (8089 nucleotides) under Homo sapiens (human). RNAcentral's name for it is "non-protein coding lnc-ZNF778-2:6". Lineage: Eukaryota; Metazoa; Chordata; Mammalia; Primates; Hominidae. The record is from RNAcentral.